UGGGGUGUGGCUCAGUGGUUGAGCACUUGCCUAACAUGUGUGAGGCACUGAGUUCGAUCCCCAACACCACAU
Molecule: transfer RNA, 72 nt
Filed under: Marmota marmota marmota (Alpine marmot)
Lineage: Eukaryota; Metazoa; Chordata; Mammalia; Rodentia; Sciuridae
Also listed under: 1 other name
Rfam family: tRNA
About the family: Transfer RNA (tRNA) molecules are approximately 80 nucleotides in length. Their secondary structure includes four short double-helical elements and three loops (D, anti-codon, and T loops).
Source: Rfam by way of RNAcentral